RNAcentral lists this ribosomal RNA (439 nucleotides) under uncultured bacterium. RNAcentral describes it as "partial 16S ribosomal RNA". It matches the Rfam family "Bacterial small subunit ribosomal RNA", at positions 339 to 795 of the family's 1533-position model. The record is from RNAcentral.
CUACGGGUUGCUGCAGUGGGGAAUAUUGCACAAUGGAGGAAACUCUGAUGCGGCAACGCCGCGUGGAGGAUGACACUUUUCGGAGCGUAAACUCCUUUUAUAUAGGAAGAAGAUGACGGUACUAUAUGAAUAAGCGCCGGCUAACUCCGUGCCAGCAGCCGCGGUAAUAUGGAGGGCGCAAGCGUUACUCGGAAUCACUGGGCGUAAAGAGCGUGUAGGCGGAUUAAAAAGUCAGAAGUGAAAUCCUAUAGCUUAACUAUAGAACUGCUUCUGAAACUCUUAAUCUAGAAUAUGGGAGAGGUAGAUGGAAUUUCUGGUGUAGGGGUAAAAUCCGUAGAGAUCAGAAGGAAUACCGAUUGCGAAGGCGAUCUACUAGAACAUUAUUGACGCUGAGACGCGAAAGCGUGGGGAGCAAACAGGAUUAGAUACCCUGGUAGUC